Molecule: ribosomal RNA, 328 nt
Filed under: uncultured bacterium
Lineage: Bacteria
Description: bacterial SSU rRNA
Rfam family: Bacterial small subunit ribosomal RNA
Source: RNAcentral
UGACUUCGGUCACGAGCGGCGGACGGGUGAGUAACACGUAGGUAAUUUACCCUCAGGUGGGGAAUAACCCGGGGAAACCCGAGCUAAUACCGCAUAUGGUCUUCGGAUCAAAGCCUUCGGGCGCCAGAGGAUGAGCCUGCGUCCCAUUACCUAGUUGGUAGGGUAACGGCCUACCAAGGGGACGAUGGGUAGCUGGUCUGAGAGGAUGAUCAGCCACACUGGGACUGAGACACGGCCCAGACUCCUACGGGAGGCAGCAGUGGGGAAUAUUGCGCAAUGGGCGAAAGCCUGACGCAGCUACGCCGCGUGGGUGAUGAAGGUCUUCGGA